Molecule: ribosomal RNA, 433 nt
Filed under: uncultured bacterium
Lineage: Bacteria
Description: partial 16S ribosomal RNA
Rfam family: Bacterial small subunit ribosomal RNA
Source: RNAcentral
AACGAACGCUGGCGGCAGGCCUAACACAUGCAAGUCGAGCGAGGACUUCGGUCCUAGCGGCGGACGGGUGAGUAACGCGUGGGAACGUGCCCUUUGCUUCGGAAUAGUCCUGGGAAACUGGGAGUAAUACCGGAUGAGCCCUUUGGGGGAAAGAUUUAUCGGCGAAGGAUCGGCCCGCGUUGGAUUAGGUAGUUGGUGGGGUAAUGGCCUACCAAGCCGACGAUCCAUAGCUGGUUUGAGAGGAUGAUCAGCCACACUGGGACUGAGACACGGCCCAGACUCCUACGGGAAGCAGCAGUGGGGAAUCUUAGACAAUGGGGGAAACCCUGAUCUAGCCAUGCCGCGUGAGCGAUGAAGGCCUUAGGGUUGUAAAGCUCUUUCAGCUGGGAAGAUAAUGACGGUACCAGCAGAAGAAGCCCCGGCUAACUCCGUG